Molecule: ribosomal RNA, 263 nt
Filed under: uncultured bacterium
Lineage: Bacteria
Description: partial 16S ribosomal RNA
Rfam family: Bacterial small subunit ribosomal RNA
Source: RNAcentral
AACGUAGGAGACAAGCGUUAUCCGGAUUUAUUGGGCGUAAAGGGCAUGUAGGCGGUGCCUUAAGUUGGAUGUGAAAUCUCCCGGCUUAACUGGGAGGGGUCAUCCAAUACUGGGGCUCUUGAGGGCAGGAGAGGGAAGUGGAAUUCCCGGUGUAGCGGUGGAAUGCGUAGAUAUCGGGAGGAACACCAGUGGCGAAAGCGGCUUCCUGGCCUGCAUCUGACGCUGAUAUGCGAAAGCUAGGGGAGCAAACGGGAUUAGAUACC